Molecule: long non-coding RNA, 872 nt
Organism: Lathyrus oleraceus (garden pea)
Lineage: Eukaryota; Viridiplantae; Streptophyta; Magnoliopsida; Fabales; Fabaceae
Exons: 2
Source: RefSeq, a predicted model, not a curated record
UUGAAGGAGGCGUGCAAUAGAGCAAACCUCGUUUGGGCCUUAGGCCCAAGCUAAAUCCAAUGCACAACACCAAAAAAAAUGUCCAUCAGCAUGAAACAAAGGAUCAAACGCUUAUGCUCAUAAGUUGAAGCAAAAAGAUUGAAAGCGCUUCUCAAACAAAUUCCAAGUCAAUAUCGCGUUUCUUCUUCAUCGUGCUUCCAUUGUUCAACAUUCAGCAUCGCUUUUCAGCGUUCCACAUCCAGCAUCAUGUUUCAUCGUUCAACAAGCUCACAUAUUCACGUUCAUCAUUCGACAACAUUGCUCAUCAAGAACGCGCUUUCAACCAUAAACAUCUCAAAUUCAUUGAUUCAAAGCUUCGUCAACCGCGCAUUCAAUUAACCACAUUCCUAAUUGCGUCUAACCCCAACAAAUUUGACUGAAACUGAAACAAAAUCGCAACGCAAAGUUGAGACAAACGCAGAUUGGAGCAACAAAAACUCACCAGAUUCGACACGGUGGCAAAAAUCAGGUUGGAGGUUAUCGUGAGUUUGAACUCGUUAGUUUGUAAAUGGUAUGCUAAUUGGUUCAAAGUGGAUCAAUUGAAAGUAGUUUUGUUAAUUGGCUUUUGAUUUGUGUAGGGUAUGCUAAUUGGAGUUGAAUUUUGUAGGGAUAUCAAUGGGGAAUUUGGCUAAGUCAACGAAUACUUCAAAAUUGUAUUUGGAAGGCUCUUGUUGAAAUUUAAUUGCUUUCUUAAAAUUGAAGUUAACUGAUGCAAGUGUUUUGCAGGGUGUAAUGAAAAAAUUGCUUGUGAAGUCAUGCUUGCAUUGACACACAUCUAUUUGUAAAAUAUCCUUUAAAUUGCUUUGAAUGAAAUUGGAAUUAGUUGUGUACUA